GGUAAUUCUCCCGCUGGCAGAUUGGGGUCAGUGGGACCUGUUGACUAGAAGCUCGCUGGUGACUCUGCACAGCUCUAAGCAACAUUUCAGGGAACUGGAGCCCUCUUCUCAUUUGGCAGAUGUUUCGGCAAAUUAUUUUUCUGCUGCAUAUCUGGAGAAAAGUGGCCAUAGAGAAAUCCUGCAACUUCAACGUUCAUUUCUGCAGUGUCCCAAGAGUUAAGAAACAUUUUACUCCAGCUUUCUUUACUGACCUAUACUGUUGUGUUUCUAAUUAUAUGAAGAAUUGUAUCCUUUUGGGAUGCCUGGAUGGCUCAGUCAGUUACACACCUAACUCUUGAUUUCGGCUCAGGUCAUGAUUUCACGGUUUGUGAGACUGAGGCCCAUGUUGGGCCCUGCACUGACAGUGUGGAGCCUGCUUGGGAUUUUCUCUCUCUCUCUCUCUCUCUGCCCCUCCUCUGUGCUCUUUGUCUCUCAAAAUAAAUAAAUAAAUACAUAAACUUAAAAAAAUAAA
Molecule: long non-coding RNA, 511 nt
Filed under: Felis catus (domestic cat)
Lineage: Eukaryota; Metazoa; Chordata; Mammalia; Carnivora; Felidae
Description: lncRNA (ENSFCAG00000042102.2)
Source: RNAcentral